Molecule: ribosomal RNA, 446 nt
Filed under: uncultured bacterium
Lineage: Bacteria
Description: partial 16S ribosomal RNA
Rfam family: Bacterial small subunit ribosomal RNA
Source: RNAcentral
UCCAGACUCCUACGGGAGGCAGCAGUGGGGAAUAUUGCACAAUGGGGGAAACCCUGAUGCAGCGACGCCGCGUGAGUGAAGAAGUAUUUCGGUAUGUAAAGCUCUAUCAGCAGGGAAGAAAAUGACGGUACCUGACUAAGAAGCCCCGGCUAACUACGUGCCAGCAGCCGCGGUAAUACGUAGGGGGCAAGCGUUAUCCGGAUUUACUGGGUGUAAAGGGAGCGUAGACGGCAUGGCAAGUCAGAUGUGAAAGCCCGGGGCUCAACCCCGGGACUGCAUUUGAAACUGUCAGGCUGGAGUGCAGGAGAGGUAAGUGGAAUUCCUAGUGUAGCGGUGAAAUGCGUAGAUAUUAGGAGGAACACCAGUGGCGAAGGCGGCUUACUGGACGGCAACUGACGCUGAGGCUCGAAAGCGUGGGGAGCAAACAGGAUUAGAUACCCUGGUAA